GGUUAAGCGACUAAGCGUACACGGUGGAUGCCCUGGCAGUCAGAGGCGAUGAAGGACGUGCUAAUCUGCGAUAAGCGCCGGUAAGGUGAUAUGAACCGUUAUAACCGGCGAUUUCCGAAUGGGGAAACCCAGUGUGACUCGUCACACUAUCAUUAACUGAAUCCAUAGGUUAAUGAGGCGAACCGGGGGAACUGAAACAUCUAAGUACCCCGAGGAAAAGAAAUCAACCGAGAUUCCCCCAGUAGCGGCGAGCGAACGGGGAGGAGCCCAGAGCCUGAAUCAGCAUGUGUGUUAGUGGAAGCGUCUGGAAAGGCGCGCGAUACAGGGUGACAGCCCCGUACACAAAAGCGCAUGUGCUGUGAGCUCGAUGAGUAGGGCGGGACACGUGGUAUCCUGUCUGAAUAUGGGGGGACCAUCCUCCAAGGCUAAAUACUCCUGACUGACCGAUAGUGAACCAGUACCGUGAGGGAAAGGCGAAAAGAACCCCGGCGAGGGGAGUGAAAAAGAACCUGAAACCGUGUACGUACAAGCAGUGGGAGCACAGGUUUACCUGUGUGACUGCGUACCUUUUGUAUAAUGGGUCAGCGACUUAUAUUCUGUAGCAAGGUUAACCGUAUAGGGGAGCCGGAGGGAAACCGAGUCUUAACCGGGCGUUAAGUUGCAGGGUAUAGACCCGAAACCCGGUGAUCUAGCCAUGGGCAGGUUGAAGGUUGGGUAACACUAACUGGAGGACCGAACCGACUAAUGUUGAAAAAUUAGCGGAUGACCUGUGGCUGGGGGUGAAAGGCCAAUCAAACCGGGAGAUAGCUGGUUCUCCCCGAAAGCUAUUUAGGUAGCGCCUCGUGAAUUCAUCUCCGGGGGUAGAGCACUGUUUCGGCUAGGGGGCCAUCCCGGCUUACCAACCCGAUGCAAACUGCGAAUACCGGAGAAUGUUAUCACGGGAGACACACGGCGGGUGCUAACGUCCGUCGUGAAGAGGGAAACAACCCAGACCGCCAGCUAAGGUCCCAAAGUCAUGGUUAAGUGGGAAACGAUGUGGGAAGGCCCAGACAGCCAGGAUGUUGGCUUAGAAGCAGCCAUCAUUUAAAGAAAGCGUAAUAGCUCACUGGUCGAGUCGGCCUGCGCGGAAGAUGUAACGGGGCUAAACCAUGCACCGAAGCUGCGGCAGCGACGCUGAUGCGUUGUUGGGUAGGGGAGCGUUCUGUAAGCCUGCGAAGGUGGCCUGUGAGGGUUGCUGGAGGUAUCAGAAGUGCGAAUGCUGACAUAAGUAACGAUAAAGCGGGUGAAAAGCCCGCUCGCCGGAAGACCAAGGGUUCCUGUCCAACGUUAAUCGGGGCAGGGUGAG
This 1345-nucleotide ribosomal RNA is filed under the name Salmonella enterica subsp. enterica serovar Montevideo. Its description in RNAcentral is "partial 23S ribosomal RNA". It matches the Rfam family "Bacterial large subunit ribosomal RNA", at positions 1 to 1383 of the family's 2925-position model. The record is from RNAcentral. Lineage: Bacteria; Pseudomonadati; Pseudomonadota; Gammaproteobacteria; Enterobacterales; Enterobacteriaceae.